GACGAACGCUGGCGGCGUGCCUAACACAUGCAAGUCGAACGGAGUCAGAAAGCUUGCUUUUUGACUUAGUGGCGGACGGGUGAGUAACGCGUGGGUAACCUGCCCUGUACAGGGGGAUAACAGUUGGAAACGACUGUUAAUACCGCAUAAGACCACAGUGCCGCAUGGCACAGGGGUAAAAACUCCGGUGGUACAGGAUGGACCCGCGUCCAAUUAGCUAGUUGGUGAGGUAACGGCCCACCAAGGCGACGAUUGGUAGCCGAUCUGAGAGGAUGACCGGCCACAUUGGGACUGAGACACGGCCCAAACUCC
Molecule: ribosomal RNA, 312 nt
Filed under: uncultured Moryella sp.
Lineage: Bacteria; Bacillati; Bacillota; Clostridia; Lachnospirales; Lachnospiraceae
Description: bacterial SSU rRNA
Rfam family: Bacterial small subunit ribosomal RNA
Source: RNAcentral